UGCAUGCUCGACAUGUUCAGGGUUGCAUGCGACAUGUUCAAGGUUGGAAUUGGUGAUAAUCAUAUGCGAUUGGUGCAGGGUACUGGUUAUUGACCUUCAGAUGGCUUUCUGAUGAGGAUGAAUGUGUCAGCAGUUUCAGAGAGAAUUCAGAGAUCAGAGGAAUUCACUCUGUUGCUUCUUCUUUUAAUGAAAGAUGAUAAAACAGCUGAAAUCUCUGUGCUGAGAGCAACUAUAAAGAGUGGCUGAGUCUUCUAUAAAAUCACUGACAUUUCAUGAUCUGUUUCUCUUACUGAUGUAUGCUCUUCUCUCAGACUCAAUUUUCACUCUCUUUUCUACUUCUCUGAUUCAUCUCUGACUCAGAAUCUCCUCUCUCAGAUUUUCAAUCUUCUACUC
Molecule: small RNA, 393 nt
Filed under: Histoplasma ohiense
Lineage: Eukaryota; Fungi; Ascomycota; Eurotiomycetes; Onygenales; Ajellomycetaceae
Description: hypothetical lncRNA
Source: RNAcentral